Long non-coding RNA from Cavia porcellus (domestic guinea pig), 1790 nucleotides. NCBI's taxonomy places the organism in Eukaryota, Metazoa, Chordata, Mammalia, Rodentia, Caviidae. The record is from Ensembl.
GGGGAGUGCAGGACAGCGUGAAAAUAGACGGGACGGACCAAGGAGAGAACAGGUUUCACAGAGUCCUCUUCUGAGGACGGAAAUCUUAAAGGAGCACAUACAUGUGAAGGAGGAGAAAUCAUAAAAUAAAUUAAAUAAAAUUGACAAUGUAGAAUGAAGAGUUAGUUUUAUUAUGCAAAGGGAAGAAAAGACUUUGAGCAACUUGGUGGUCUACGGUAAUAACUCUUCGAGGAGGCUGAACGGAACACGCAUGAUCAGGAAGACAGCAGGACGCUGGGAAAGUCAUUUCUGCUUUUCAGUACCAGGCCAGCUGGAUCUCUGCAGCCCAUGUGAAUUUAAUCAGCUCACUCUUCCCAGAACCUAUGUGUGACAAUCACUGCUUGAGCUACAUCUGUCACCCAAAUCUGGUGAUGAUCAUUUCUCAUCAACGCAUCAAGAAAGGAACCACUCCGUGGACCCCCAAAGAGACUCAUUUUGUAAAAGGGUGCCUAAGAGAAAUGGUAUCUUUGAAAUGAAAUGCCUUGCAAACACUGUAAAGCUUUUCCAAAUUCCCUUAAGAAAUGUCCUUUCAAGGCUAAACCUAUGAGGUAGAUCUGUGACUUAGAUCUUAUCAGCUCUACCCUCAAUUAACAUUUCGGUUCUUUCAAAUAUUUCUUCUAAUAUCAAGCUUUUUUUCCAAAAUGUAACAGUAGGAUAGUACUUAAAACUAUCAUUUUGCUUUGUUCCCUUCCUUAUGGCCCAGGAAUCCAUUGACUCAGUUUUUAUCCUGAAAAGCAACCAAAGGUGAUUAGGAACCCUGCCUGUCUUAUUAUAAAACAUGGUAUCAAAUAAAGUAUCAUGAAGACCACAACAUGUCAAAAGCAGAGACGCAUCAAUUCUAAAGAUCUUUGAAGCUCUGAGAGUCUCUUGAAGAGAUGCAGAAUACAUACAAGACAGUAACAAUGGAUUGUUUCCAAAAGAACACAUGAAUAAGCUACUUGUGGUUUCUUGGAGACAUCUACUUAGUUGCUGAGGAAGUUCAAGGCCAUGAAGAGAGCUACAAGCAUUAGUAUGUUGCAUCAUAGAACAGAGCGAUGGUGGUGGUGGUGGGGGAGAUGGUGGGGGUUUACGGCAGGGGUUUCUUAGAAUCCAAGACAGAUGCAAAGCACAGGAGUUUAUGAAUCAUGUCAAAUGGUAUCAGCCAGACCCUAUUUUUCCAAAGUAUGAUCCACUACAAGUGAAAUACUAAUAGAUGCAGAAGUGGUAAACGUUCCGGCUGCUAUAGAGGAGGCGUUCAGUAACUGCUUGGUUAAAAAAAAAGCUCUAAGAAAUAAAUUACUGGAGUUGAGGAAAUUAAAGAGGGCUGGAGUAUGUAAAAUGAACGGAGCCUUACAAAGAUCUAAAGCAACUACUUACAAGCAAAUUUAUCUUGUAAGUGAUUCCAGAUAUGGAAACACUAGUUUUCAUAGCAGCUAAUCCACCAGAACCUGACAAGAACAUUUUCUUUCUUGUUUAGUUUAUAAAAAGGAAUCAUCAUCAAAGAAGAAGUACAUUCUCUAGGUGUUAGCUGCUAGAAAGCUAAAUAUUAAACUGUCCUGGGGGAAAGGGAUGUGGAGAAUAAAAGGAAAAAAAUAUGUUUUCUUCUCUUUUGAUUGGUUUGAGAAAUAUCUGUCUUUUCAAAUAAACAGACCAAGUCAGGAGAGAAACUAGAAAUGGUGAAUUUGCUAUUUAUUUUUCUGGCAGUGUUGACUUACUAAUGUUCAAAUAUCUGUGUUAAAGUCUCUGGAGGGCACCAUGCAUUUCAAUUAGUU